Molecule: ribosomal RNA, 366 nt
Filed under: uncultured bacterium
Lineage: Bacteria
Description: bacterial SSU rRNA
Rfam family: Bacterial small subunit ribosomal RNA
Source: RNAcentral
GACGAACGCUGGCGGCGUGCUUAACACAUGCAAGUCGAGCGGUAAGGCCCUUUCGGGGGUACACGAGCGGCGAACGGGUGAGUAACACGUGGGUGACCUGCCCUUAGCUCUGGGAUAAGCCUGGGAAGCUGGGUCUAAUACCGGAUAUGACUCCAUAACGCAUGUUGUGGGGUGGAAAGCCUUGUGCGGCUAGGGAUGGGCCCGCGGCCUAUCAGCUUGUUGGUGGGGUGAAGGGCCUACCAAGGCGACGACGGGUAGCCGGCCUGAGAGGGCGACCGGCCACACUGGGACUGAGACACGGCCCAGACUCCUACGGGAGGCAGCAGUGGGGAAUCUUGCGCAAUGGGCGAAAGCCUGACGCAGCGA